AUUGAACGCUGGCGGCAGGCCUAACACAUGCAAGUCGAGCGAGCGGCGGUCGGGUGAUUAAUGUAUGGGGCCUGCCCGAUAGAGGGGGCUACCUACUGGACACGCUAGCUAAUCCCGCAUACUAUCGGAUAACCCAUAUUGGUUUCGCUAGUAGGUGGGGUAAUGGCUCACCUAGGCGACGAUCCCUAGCUGGUCUGAGAGGAUGAUCAGCCACAGUGGGAAUGAGACACGGCCCAGACGCCUACGGAGGCAGCAGUGGGGAAUAUUGCACAAUGGGCGCAAGCCUGAUGCAGCCAUGCCGCGUGUAUGAAGAAGGCCCUAGGGUUGUAAAGUACGUUCAGGAGGGAGGCGUUACAGACAGAAGAAGCACCGGCUAACUCCGUGCCAGCAGCCGCGGUAAUAC
Molecule: ribosomal RNA, 403 nt
Filed under: uncultured bacterium
Lineage: Bacteria
Description: partial 16S ribosomal RNA
Rfam family: Bacterial small subunit ribosomal RNA
Source: RNAcentral